This 253-nucleotide ribosomal RNA is filed under the name uncultured bacterium. Its description in RNAcentral is "partial 16S ribosomal RNA". It matches the Rfam family "Bacterial small subunit ribosomal RNA", at positions 524 to 776 of the family's 1533-position model. The record is from RNAcentral.
UACGGGGGGGGUAAGCGUUGUUCGGAAUCACUGGGCGUAAAGGGUGCGUAGGCGGGUCUUUAAGUCAGGGGUGAAAUCCUGGAGCUCAACUCCAGAACUGCCUUUGAUACUGAGGAUCUUGAGUUCGGGAGAGGUGAGUGGAACUGCGAGUGUAGAGGUGAAAUUCGUAGAUAUUCGCAAGAACACCAGUGGCGAAGGCGGCUCACUGGCCCGAUACUGACGCUGAGGCACGAAAGCGUGGGGAGCAAACAGG